RNAcentral lists this ribosomal RNA (140 nucleotides) under uncultured bacterium. RNAcentral describes it as "partial 16S ribosomal RNA". The record is from RNAcentral.
CACGUAGUUGGCCGGUCCUUCUUCUGCAGGUACCGUCACUCUCGCUUCGUCCCUGCUGAAAGAGGUUUACAACCCGAAGGCCGUCAUCACUCACGCGGCGUUGCUGCGUCAGACUUUCGUCCAUUGCGCAAUAUUCCCCA